GACGGUAUAGCUCAGUGGUGGAGUGCAUGCUUAGCAUGCACAAGGUCCUGGGUUCAAUCCCCAGUACCUCCA
RNAcentral lists this transfer RNA (72 nucleotides) under Camelus bactrianus (Bactrian camel). It matches the Rfam family "tRNA". From Rfam's summary of the family: Transfer RNA (tRNA) molecules are approximately 80 nucleotides in length. Their secondary structure includes four short double-helical elements and three loops (D, anti-codon, and T loops). The record is from Rfam by way of RNAcentral. Lineage: Eukaryota; Metazoa; Chordata; Mammalia; Artiodactyla; Camelidae. RNAcentral also lists the same sequence under 2 other names.